GGGUUUUGGCGAUCAGAGAUUUCUGAGAGAAAAACAAGAGAGAUGGGUAGCGUCUGAAUCCAACCAAAAAACAAAAUUCCGGGAAAUUAUGGGGUGAGUGAGAAAAUGGGCGUGAGAAAAUUGUGGGUGUGUUAAUUGUGUGUUUGAAUUCCCUUACAAUUCUCCGAUCUUACAUUUGCCUGAAACUUCUCUAGCGUUUCGAUUUCGGUGCGUUCAGAUUACAUCUUUGAGGACUUUUACUUCGGGUUUCUGAGAGCUGCAGUUGGUGAAGUGUAUAUUUGUUUAAAGAAGGUUGUACAGUUCUGGUUCUUUGUGGUUGAUGUGCUCAUCGUGGUAUGAUUUUGGAGAAAUGGCGUUGCAAAAGAGGUUGGAUUACGGGUUCAAUGGCUUUCAGGUGCCGGUCACCCCUCGAGCUCCAAGAUCAGCGAGGAGAAGGAGUGCAAUUAGCAAGAGAUUCGAAGACAAUCCAAUGGGCGCAUUUGACUUAUUGGCCACCGUAGCUGGCAAGUUAUUGCUCGAGGGAGAGAGUUCUGCUGCUUCCAGUCAUACAUCAACUGAAAAGAAAAGUGUACAAUCGUUAAUGAAAGUUGUCUGGAUGGAGACAAGCCACUGAAAGUGGAACCUUCUGAUCAAGGUAGCUGUGACAGGAAGUUCUUCGUAUCUGAUAAUAUCUCACAGGGUCAUAAUCAAAGUUGCAGCUCAAAGGAGUCUCCAGUUCAUCAGAAUGAAAGCCAUUCUGUAAUGACUACUUCUAAUUGCUCGGAGAGGUUUGUUUCUGAUAUGCUGGUGGGUGGAAAAUGUAAGAACGAAAUAGGAAGUUUUACUAGUAAAAUACAGGCAGGCUUCUCAAUGUACAGGGAGUCUGGUGAAUGUAAAUUAGAUGGUGAAGCUAAAGUAAUAGUAAAAGAUGAGACUAAUAAGAGGGGUAAGGUGCUAAUUGGUACUGGGGCUGACAAUGUGGAGGACCCUAUGGUCUGGGAAGGGGAACCUCCUGCACUAGUCAGUUCAGACAGUAGUACCAAGGUGCCUAUUUGUGUAGACCAUAUACCUCAGAAACCUAUCCCUGCUAGCAGGGAUGAUAUAAAAGUAGUUAGUAGAGAUGAUGACGAAAAUUCCUCUGGGUGUACUCACCCUAGUACCACCACAAGGUAUCUAAGGACAGCGCCACGCAUUGGUGAUCGAAGAAUAAGGAAGAUUUUGGCUUCCAGGUAUUGGAAAGCAACUCCAAAGAUGAAGGAUGAAGCACAUUCUAAUUCUUAUAGGGAUAUGCGACCUAUGUACCAUGGCAGGAAGAAUGGUUACAAACGCCAGAGAUCUCAGAUGACUGUGCCUUUUAAGAAGAGGAGGCUGUUUGAUCGUAGCACAGUUGGGAAAUCUGAUGGAGGUAUUACUAGUGAGAGCUUCUUUGACUCAGCCAAUGCAGUAUCUUCUUCAGUAGCAGGUCAACAUUCAGCUUUCCAAUCUAGGAAUUCUCAUGUGAAACUCAGGAUCAAGUCUUUCAGGGUGCCAGAACUAUUUAUUGAAAUUCCAGAGACGGCAACCGUUGGUUCUUUGAAGAAGACAGUUAUGGAUGCAGUAACAGCUGUACUUGGUGGUGGGUUGUGUGUUGGUGUACUUCUUCAGGGUAAGAAAGUAAGAGAUGACUCUAAAACUCUCCAGCAGACGGGGAUUUCUCAAGAUGAUCAGCUAGAUUCUUUGGGAUUUACUUUGGAACCUAACCCUUCCCACACUCCCACACCGUUGUGUUCUGGAGAUUCGCCCCGUAUGCUUCCCUGCGAUGCACUUCAGCCUUUAAUAAGGUAUGCACCUGAUCCUAGUAGUGAAGCCUCACUCGAACCUCAUAUGGCUGCUUUAGGAAGCUUCAUCGAAAGUGAUCAUGAUUCAGCACCUUCUCCGACCGAUACCUCCACAACAGAUUCUAAAGCGCUGGUUGUUGUGCCCGGAAUGAGUGCAGAGGCACUUGCUGUAGUUCCUGGGAACAGGAAAUCAAAGCGGUUUGAUAUUGGGCAGCGCCGAAUUCGUCGACCUUUCUCUGUUUCUGAAGUGGAAGCACUUGUCCAGGCGGUUGAGAAACUUGGUACUGGAAGGUGGCGUGAUGUUAAGAUGCGAGCUUUUGAAAAUGCCAAGCAUCGAACUUAUGUGGAUUUGAAGGAUAAGUGGAAAACACUAGUGCACACGGCAAGAAUAUCUCCUCAACAAAGGAGAGGUGAGCCUGUCCCCCAGGAACUCUUGGACCGUGUCCUAACCGCGCAUGCUUACUGGUCCCAGCAGCAAGCUAAACAACAGCUCAAACAUCCCGAGAGCUGCGUUCUGGUCUGAUCAAAAAUAGAAUGGGAAAAAUUGGUUGGGGUUUAGAAGGGGUAUGUCUAGAAGUUUCGAAUUAGUGUUUUCUUUGUAUCUUUGUUAAUGAUGUAAAAAAAGUAAUCUACAAAAAGGAGUAUAAUUUGAAGAAAAGGUAUGUAAUAUCUGUGGGUGGUUCUUUCUUUCUUUGCCUCCGGUACUUUCCCUGAAUGGAGAGGCUGGGGUUUUGUAAAUGGUUGACUGAAUAAGAAGAGGAGAGAUUGCUGACAGAAUUCUUUCAGAAACCCAAAGAUGUUGGUGUUUCCCUGAUGUUUUUUCAUUGUUCAUUUCCGUUGAAGAAGAAGUAGGAAUCGAAGCUGCUACAGUUCGUGGAGCUUUGGUACGGUAGUCUGUAAUUUUCCUUUAGUUACUUGGGCAUUGAUGCAAUGCAGUUACUUUCAUGUAAUAUUGUUUCAAUUUGCAAUAGAGAUAUAUAAUUUGAG
Molecule: RNA transcript, 2783 nt
Organism: Fragaria vesca subsp. vesca
Lineage: Eukaryota; Viridiplantae; Streptophyta; Magnoliopsida; Rosales; Rosaceae
Gene name: telomere repeat-binding protein 5-like
Exons: 10
Source: RefSeq, a predicted model, not a curated record